AACAAAACAAUAACAUUAAAUAACAUUGUUUUCUAUUUGUUAGAAAAUUUACUAUUUAUUCAAGUUUUUAAGGUAUCUAAUAUUUUGAUUCCUAAUUUCAAUGAUCUAAAUACUUUAAGAAUUAGAUGUUGGUUUGUCAAUUGAAAGUGUGUAGAUCUUGCAUUAUUAUGGUGUUAUAUUAUGAUUAUACAUUCAAAGACAUAAAAUGGUCUUAAAAUGACAAUGACAUAACUUGUCGCAAUUGUUUAUGGGGCAAUAUACCGACCAACAAAAAGUCGCUAUCGUAACAGGCCUUCAAAACAGACGGUUUUAUGAUUGAUAAAUUCAAAAAAUAAAUACAUUUAAUUUCUCUGAGAUUCUCUAAUAUUCAGUUACAGUUCACAACACAGCUACCCGUACAUGCAGUAUUAUACUGUAAAUAUAAAUCUCUGCAUUUAGCAUCCCACUAGAAGCGUCACAGUUACUGCCUCUUUUUUUUUUUUUACAAAUACCUGUACUAUUACUAACACAUUUACUGUUUUACUUUUAGCCUGUGGAUACAAAUGCAGAUUUCCUUAAUGUUCAAUGGUGCGUGUUCUUCUAAUGGCCGCCUUCCCACUGGAGGUUUUGAUCCACAGCAAUUUAAAAGGAGGACAGAGCAAAACGGACAUCGGCGCAGAGUGAAGAACUGCCCUUGAUAAGGACACUAUGACAGCCAUA
Molecule: long non-coding RNA, 699 nt
Organism: Haplochromis burtoni (Burton's mouthbrooder)
Lineage: Eukaryota; Metazoa; Chordata; Actinopteri; Cichliformes; Cichlidae
Exons: 3
Source: RefSeq, a predicted model, not a curated record